ACGAACGCUGGCGGCGUGCCUAAUACAUGCAAGUAGAACGCUGAAGAGAGGAGCUUGCUCUUCUUGGAUGAGUUGCGAACGGGUGAGUAACGCGUAGGUAACCUGCCUUGUAGCGGGGGAUAACUAUUGGAAACGAUAGCUAAUACCGCAUAACAAUGGAUGACACAUGUCAUUUAUUUGAAAGGGGCAAUUGUUCCACUACAAGAUGGACCUGCGUUGUAUUAGCUAGUAGGUGAGGUAACGGCUCACCUAGGCGACGAUACAUAGCCGACCUGAGAGGGUGAGCGGCCACACUGGGACUGAGACACGGCCCAGACGCCUACGGGAGGCAGCAGUAGGGAAUCUUCGGCAAUGGGGGCAACCCUGACCGAGCAACGCCGCGUGAGUGAAGAAGGGUUUCGGAUCGUAAAGCUCUGUUGUAAGUCAAGAACGGGUGUGAGAGUGGAAAGUUCACACUGUGACGGUAGCUUACCAGAAAGGGACGGCUAACUACGUG
Molecule: ribosomal RNA, 496 nt
Filed under: uncultured bacterium
Lineage: Bacteria
Description: partial 16S ribosomal RNA
Rfam family: Bacterial small subunit ribosomal RNA
Source: RNAcentral